Molecule: ribosomal RNA, 1147 nt
Filed under: Campylobacter coli
Lineage: Bacteria; Pseudomonadati; Campylobacterota; Epsilonproteobacteria; Campylobacterales; Campylobacteraceae
Description: partial 23S ribosomal RNA
Rfam family: Bacterial large subunit ribosomal RNA
Source: RNAcentral
CUUACAACAAAGAGUCCCUCCCGACUGUUUACCAAAAACACAGCACUCUGCUAACUCGUAAGAGGAUGUAUAGGGUGUGACGCCUGCCCGGUGCUCGAAGGUUAAUUGAUGGGGUUAGCAUUAGCGAAGCUCUUGAUCGAAGCCCGAGUAAACGGCGGCCGUAACUAUAACGGUCCUAAGGUAGCGAAAUUCCUUGUCGGUUAAAUACCGACCUGCAUGAAUGGCGUAACGAGAUGGGAGCUGUCUCAAAGAGGGAUCCAGUGAAAUUGUAGUGGAGGUGAAAAUUCCUCCUACCCGCGGCAAGACGGAAAGACCCCGUGGACCUUUACUACAGCUUGACACUGCUAUUUGGAUAAGAAUGUGCAGGAUAGGUGGGAGGCUUUGAGUAUAUGACGCCAGUUGUAUAUGAGCCAUUGUUGAGAUACCACUCUUUCUUAUUUGGGUAGCUAACCAGCUUGAGUUAUCCUCAAGUGGGACAAUGUCUGGUGGGUAGUUUGACUGGGGCGGUCGCCUCCCAAAUAAUAACGGAGGCUUACAAAGGUUGGCUCAGAACGGUUGGAAAUCGUUCGUAGAGUAUAAAGGUAUAAGCCAGCUUAACUGCAAGACAUACAAGUCAAGCAGAGACGAAAGUCGGUCUUAGUGAUCCGGUGGUUCUGUGUGGAAGGGCCAUCGCUCAAAGGAUAAAAGGUACCCCGGGGAUAACAGGCUGAUCUCCCCCAAGAGCUCACAUCGACGGGGAGGUUUGGCACCUCGAUGUCGGCUCAUCGCAUCCUGGGGCUGGAGCAGGUCCCAAGGGUAUGGCUGUUCGCCAUUUAAAGCGGUACGCGAGCUGGGUUCAGAACGUCGUGAGACAGUUCGGUCCCUAUCUGCCGUGGGCGUAAGAAGAUUGAAGAGAUUUGACCCUAGUACGAGAGGACCGGGUUGAACAAACCACUGGUGUAGCUGUUGUUCUGCCAAGAGCAUCGCAGCGUAGCUAAGUUUGGAAAGGAUAAACGCUGAAAGCAUCUAAGCGUGAAGCCAACUCUAAGAUGAAUCUUCUCUAAGCUCUCUAGAAGACUACUAGUUUGAUAGGCUGGGUGUGUAAUGGAUGAAAGUCCUUUAGCUGACCAGUACUAAUAGAGCGUUUGGCUUAUCUUUAAUAAAGCAU